This is a transfer RNA of Erysiphe necator (grape powdery mildew), 72 nucleotides long. It matches the Rfam family "tRNA". Rfam says of the family: Transfer RNA (tRNA) molecules are approximately 80 nucleotides in length. Their secondary structure includes four short double-helical elements and three loops (D, anti-codon, and T loops). Further hydrogen bonds mediate the characteristic L-shaped molecular structure. tRNAs have two regions of fundamental functional importance: the anti-codon, which is responsible for specific mRNA codon recognition, and the 3' end, to which the tRNAs corresponding amino acid is attached (by aminoacyl-tRNA synthetases). tRNAs cope with the degeneracy of the genetic code in two manners: having more than one tRNA (with a specific anti-codon) for a particular amino acid; and 'wobble' base-pairing, i.e. permitting non-standard base-pairing at the 3rd anti-codon position. NCBI's taxonomy places the organism in Eukaryota, Fungi, Ascomycota, Leotiomycetes, Helotiales, Erysiphaceae. The record is from Rfam.
GGGGACAUAGUUUAACAGGUAAAACUACAAUUUUGCAUAUUGUUAUUUCAGGCUCGAGUCCUGAUGUCUCCA